UCCAUAAAAAUAUCUGUCCAGUGGGCAAUAUACAUUUCAAGCUCCAGAAAAUCAUAUUCAAACUACCGCUCCACUAAAUGACUCAGAUUGCACUCCGUUAUUGCACAUUUACUUUUAAGUUAUGAAUCCAAUUUAGAUCUCAGAAACCAGAGCAACAAUUCGACUUCAAUAAGAACCACUUUGUGCUUACCCAAUUAAAUUGAUAACAAGCUGUUCCAUAAUUUAGCCCAUGUUUGUCUCUCAUUAUUUCAAAAACCUCUCUCUCUCUCUCUCUCUCUCUCUCUUCAAAAACCUUUGCGGCUAUAAAUCAUCAUCGUUAUCUUGUCCUUUGUGGUUGAGAUUGAGAAGCAAUCAAGCUGAAUAUAUUGCUUGUAGAUUGGAGCCGUUUGAAUUGGUUGUUUGUAAGAGAAA
This 411-nucleotide long non-coding RNA is filed under the name Olea europaea (common olive). Its description in RNAcentral is "long non-coding RNA (OEUR_LNC005330)". The record is from RNAcentral. Lineage: Eukaryota; Viridiplantae; Streptophyta; Magnoliopsida; Lamiales; Oleaceae.